This is a non-coding RNA of Pantherophis guttatus, 822 nucleotides long. Lineage: Eukaryota; Metazoa; Chordata; Lepidosauria; Squamata; Colubridae. The record is from RefSeq and is a predicted model, not a curated record.
UCUUCAGACAUCUAAUUUACCUCAGGUUUAUUAUGAGAAAAAAAUGAAGGAGGUACUGAGAGGAGGAGAUAAAGAACAAGAACACACCAUAUUAGCUGUUGGAUGUGGAAACUCAGCUCCAGGGCCUACAGUUACUCCAGGAAAUGUGAUGACUGUAGCAUUUCAGUCACAGAACAUUUCAGGAUGUGGGUUUUCUGUAUCAUUUAUAAACAGAGCCAGUAAGAUCACGGGAUACAGAGGAUGAUGAGCAGAAUGGAAUGAAACACACUAAUCUUAUUCUUCACGUCAUCUUUUUUCAUUUUUCCCAUUUCCUCUGCUGAAGCCUUUCUGUUUGGAACAGCCCCAGUUCAUUCUGUACAUAGACCAAAGCAGCCUUACUUUGGUCUCUGAUCAGUUCAUCAAAAGUCUAGCAUUUUCAAAUGAAUUAUAAAUUGAUUAAUUCUUUAAAAAUGAAGAUAAUAUUGCUUUAUAUUCUUAAUAUUGUUAUUUACUGUGCCCUUUCUGCAAUUGUGAUUAGACCAUCAGCUUCAAUUAUUAUCUGUUACAAGAUUUGAUAGCUUAGUAGUAUCCUAAUUCGAAAUAUUUGAGCUCCCUCAACUAUGAAGGAUAUUUUCAGGGAACAUAAUUCUUCUCUGAAAACAAGUAUGAAGAGUAAGAGAGCUUGCUAAAAAGCAAGCAUUAUUUAGCACAUGCCUCUAUUGUGGAAUUCCAAAAUAACUAUUUGUUAAUUUGUCUCUGUAUACAAAUAAAUACUCCCCCCCCCCACCUUUCAAGUGUUAACAGAAGAAAUAAAAAAUCAUCUCCUUCUUAGGAAGUCUUCCA